This 380-nucleotide ribosomal RNA is filed under the name Madatyphlops domerguei. RNAcentral describes it as "partial 12S ribosomal RNA". It matches the Rfam family "Bacterial small subunit ribosomal RNA", at positions 835 to 1384 of the family's 1533-position model. Lineage: Eukaryota; Metazoa; Chordata; Lepidosauria; Squamata; Typhlopidae. The record is from RNAcentral.
GCUCGGCAGUAACAAGGCUGAAGACUACUAUUAGCCCGCCAGAUUAUUACAAGUGAAAACUUAAAACUCAAAGGACUUGACGGUGCCCCACACAACCUAGAGGAGCCUGUCCCAUAAUCGAUGGCCCACGAAAACCUUUCCGUCUUUUGCCAAGCAACCUAUAUACCGCCGUCGGAAGUCCACCUUGUGAAAGAAAAAAAGUGGGCGCAAUAGCCAAACGCAAAGACGUCAGGUCAAGGUGUAGUUUAUGAGACGGUCGGAGAUGGGCUACAUUUCCUUUUUAGGACAUACGGACAGCCUCAUGAAAACCGGCUCGAAGGAGGAUUUAGUAGUAAAAUUGGAACAGCAAGCCUAUUUGAACAAACUGCCCUGGGGUGCGU